GUUCGUAAGAACAGGGUAUGACGGAGCGGCGAACGGGUGAGUAACACGUGAGCAACCUGCCCCACAGACCGGGAUAGCCCAAGGAAACUUGGAUUAAUACCGGAUGUCUUCGAACGACCUCAUGGUCGAUCGAGGAAAUGCCUUUGUGCUGUGGGAUGGGCUCGCGGCUUAUCAGCUAGUUGGUGGGGUAAAGGCCUACCAAGGCGUCGACGAGUAGCUGGUCUGAGAGGACGAUCAGCCACACUGGAACUGAGACACGGUCCAGACUCCUACGGGAGGCAGCAGCAGGGAAUCUUGCGCAAUGGGCGAAAGCCUGACGCAGCAACGCCGCGUGGGGGAUGAAGGCCUUCGGGUUGUAAACCCCUUUCAGGAGGGAAGAAAUUGACGGUACCUCCAGAAGAAGGACCGGCCAACUACGUGCCAGCAGCCGCGGUAAUACGUAGGGUCCUAGCGUUAUCCGGAAUCAUUGGGCGUAAAGAGCUCGUAGGCGGUUCAGCAAGUCGGCUGUGAAAGUCCGAGGCUUAACCUCGGAAUUGCAGUCGAUACUGCUGUGACUCGAGUCCGGUAGAGGAGAAUGGAAUUCUCGGUGUAGCGGUGAAAUGUGCAGAUAUCGAGAGGAACACCAGUAGCGAAGGCGGUUCUCUGGGCCGGCACUGACGCUGAGGAGCGAAAGCGUGGGGAGCAAACAGGAUUAGAUACCCUGGUAGUCCACGCUGUAAACGUUGG
RNAcentral lists this ribosomal RNA (726 nucleotides) under uncultured Actinomycetes bacterium. RNAcentral's name for it is "bacterial SSU rRNA". It matches the Rfam family "Bacterial small subunit ribosomal RNA", at positions 75 to 812 of the family's 1533-position model. Lineage: Bacteria; Bacillati; Actinomycetota; Actinomycetes. The record is from RNAcentral.